RNAcentral lists this ribosomal RNA (253 nucleotides) under uncultured bacterium. RNAcentral's name for it is "partial 16S ribosomal RNA". It matches the Rfam family "Bacterial small subunit ribosomal RNA", at positions 524 to 776 of the family's 1533-position model. The record is from RNAcentral.
UACGUAGGGGGCAAGCGUUGUCCGGAUUUAUUGGGCGUAAAGAGCGUGUAGGCGGCUGGGUAGGUCUGCUGUGAAAACUCGAGGCUCAACCUCGAGACGUCGGCGGAAACCCUCCAGCUAGAGUCCGGAAGAGGAGAGUGGAAUUCCUGGUGUAGCGGUGAAAUGCGCAGAUAUCAGGAAGAACACCCGUGGCGAAAGCGGCUCUCUGGGACGGUACUGACGCUGAGACGCGAAAGCGUGGGGAGCAAACAGG